AUGGAGACGCUGCCGGACGACGUGGUCCUGGAAAUCCUGGUACGCAUGCCGGAUGCCCCACACCUCUUCCGCUGCGCGGCGACGUGCAAGCGAUGGUGGUUCCUCGUAGCACAACCCUCCUUCCUCCGCCGCCGCUGGCCAGACGACAGGUACCAUCCCUCCUCCCUCCUCGGCUUCUUCGCCGAGGAAUAUCGAUCACCUGAUCGACGGAGCUACAAAAUUAGGUAUGUGCCAUCCUUUAUUCCGGCGCCCUCGUCGCCCUUUCGGCCUCGCAGCCCCAUCGCGAGCUUCGCCGACGCCGGCGACUUACGGGAGCUGCCACUCGCCUCGCGCCGCGGCUUUCUUCUCGUGCAUCUCGUCGCGGGCCAUCACCUUCGGGACGCAUACAAAGAAUUCAACCUGGCCGUGUCCGACCCGCUCAGUGGCACGAGCCGCGUGCUACCCACGCUCAAGUGCGACAGGCUUUUCAGAAUCAAAGGUUGUGCUAUCCUAACCACUGCAGACCAUUGCUUCAAGGAACAACAGCAGCAGCAGCAGCCGGUGUUAUCAACCUGCUCGGCCUUCUCUAAAGUGUUAAUAAUUGGCUUCGACAACGACAACCAACAGUACAGCAUCUCUAUGUUCUCGUCCGAUGAGUCGAGCUGGAGCGCGCCUGAAAACUGCUUCGACCCUUUGGAGCACAGCAUUCAGCUGGCGCCUUUACAGUUCAACGCGGUUGUGUGCCAAGGAGCGGCACACUGGCUCUUCAGGGACAAUUCAAACUUCUACACGCUGGACGCGAGCGUCGAGACGGGCCAUGCCACCUUGACGAAGCUCUCGGUCACACCGGGCCGCCUCGGCCGCAACUUUAGGGACGUGCCACGGCUAAGCGUCACCAACGGAGUGCUAUCGCUGCUCGCCUUGCAUAAAAAAUGCCUCAGAGUGCAGAUCUGGACAUGUCGAGGUGGCACAAGGAGCGGAGAUUGCACCAGAGAGUGGCGCCACACUAAGAUGAUCAAGCUAGAACGACCGGAACAAAAUCAUACCAAGAUAUUAGUGCAUUACAUGUGGGCAGGGGAGAGGAGCGGUGUAUUGCUUAUCAAGGCAAGCCCCUACUUCAAACGGUCUGUAUAUGUUGCUAACCUUCAAACUGGGACAGUGGAGGAGGUCAUCAGCAAAUUUUGCGACGAGUGCACGACGCCUAUCCCGUUUGAGAUUGAUUGGCCGGCCUUCUUCAUGUCUCGCUUGGCAGGCGAUAGCAUCAAGCAGGCUAAAUUGGGAGAAACCAUACUCAACAUUGCCAACCUUCUUGGGGGCCAAUAG
Molecule: ribosomal RNA, 1302 nt
Filed under: Triticum aestivum (bread wheat)
Lineage: Eukaryota; Viridiplantae; Streptophyta; Magnoliopsida; Poales; Poaceae
Description: partial small subunit ribosomal RNA
Source: RNAcentral